RNAcentral lists this ribosomal RNA (237 nucleotides) under Lactiplantibacillus plantarum. RNAcentral describes it as "partial 16S ribosomal RNA". It matches the Rfam family "Bacterial small subunit ribosomal RNA", at positions 1 to 216 of the family's 1533-position model. The record is from RNAcentral. Lineage: Bacteria; Bacillati; Bacillota; Bacilli; Lactobacillales; Lactobacillaceae.
UAAUUUGAGAGUUUGAUCCUGGCUCAGGACGAACGCUGGCGGCGUGCCUAAUACAUGCAAGUCGAACGAACUCUGGUAUUGAUUGGUGCUUGCAUCAUGAUUUACAUUUGAGUGAGUGGCGAACUGGUGAGUAACACGUGGGAAACCUGCCCAGAAGCGGGGGAUAACACCUGGAAACAGAUGCUAAUACCGCAUAACAACUUGGACCGCAUGGUCCGAGCUUGAAAGAUGGCUUCG